Lolium rigidum is the source of this 931-nucleotide long non-coding RNA. RefSeq lists it as uncharacterized. The transcript is spliced from 2 exons. The record is from RefSeq and is a predicted model, not a curated record. Lineage: Eukaryota; Viridiplantae; Streptophyta; Magnoliopsida; Poales; Poaceae.
GGGCCGACCCAGCCAGGGGGAAAUGAACGAGGAAUGGAAAGAAAAGACCAAGCAGUUCAUUGACAGGGCGUUUGAGUGGGACAAGACACCGAAUGGAACUUCAUGCCCCUGCAGCAAAUGCCGUAACCAGAAGCGAGUGUCAAAGGAUACUAUGACUCAACACCUGGUCGUUCACGGGUUCACGCCUUUCUACCACACUUGGGAAUUCCAUGGUGAAAAACCAUCAAAACGUGCAAGAGAUAAGGAGGCGGAACAGAGCACACAGAUUCUAGGCACCGGAGAAUUUGAUGCUGGGAUUGACGAUUGCAUAGGUAAAGCAAAUGCGUCUGAAAAUCCAGCUGUAGAAGAGACACACGAGAAGCCGGACCAGAGUACAAAAAAGUACUACGAUACUUUGCUUGCGGCACAGAAACCUCUUCACUCACAUACAGAGGUUACUCAGCUGGAUGCAAUCACACGCCUAAUGGCCUUGAAGUGCGACUUGAACUUGUCAAGAGAUGCAUUCGAUGAUCUUCUGACCAUCAUUGCCAGCAUUCUGCCGCAAGGGCAGAUACUACCGAAGAACAUGUACGAGACGAACAAAAUCUUGAAGACACUUAAGUUGCCAUCGAUGGGAUCCAAAAAUGUUCCGGUCAGUUCAUCUUCAAAUCUGCAUGAAAGCCCGGUAAUUCGUACGACGGCUUCUCAGCCUCCGCCUUAGGCCUGCACUUCAAUCAUCAGGAUGGGCACCGGGACUCCAGGAUUUGCAUCGCGGACGCCUUUGUCGAUGGUGCUCAUUGUCUUGCAAAUUUGGUUAUGUCCUUGUGAACUUCGCUUCAUGGCGGAUCGCUACGUAGUUGUUAGUUGCUGGUUGUGUUUGAUGUACUUGAUGGAUAUAAUUGUGAACCUUGCUCUAUGUACUUGUUGGUUGACGGAUGAGUGAUACUAUGCA